GACGAACCGUGCAAACGUUAUUCGGAAUCACUGGGCUUAAAGGGCGCGUAGGCGGGCAUUCAAGUCUGUGGUGAAAUCCUCCAGCUCAACUGGAGAACUGCCUCGGAUACUGGGUGUCUCGAGGGUGGUAGGGGUAUGCGGAACUAUCGGUGGAGCGGUGAAAUGCGUUGAUAUCGAUAGGAACUCCGGUGGCGAAGGCGGCAUACUGGACCACUUCUGACGCUGAGGCGCGAAAGCCAGGGGAGCGAACGGG
RNAcentral lists this ribosomal RNA (253 nucleotides) under uncultured bacterium. Its description in RNAcentral is "partial 16S ribosomal RNA". It matches the Rfam family "Bacterial small subunit ribosomal RNA", at positions 524 to 776 of the family's 1533-position model. The record is from RNAcentral.